This 294-nucleotide ribosomal RNA is filed under the name uncultured bacterium. Its description in RNAcentral is "partial 16S ribosomal RNA". It matches the Rfam family "Bacterial small subunit ribosomal RNA", at positions 30 to 329 of the family's 1533-position model. The record is from RNAcentral.
CCUGAACGCUGGCGGCGUGGCUAAGACAUGCAAGUCGAACGGACCUAGCAAUAGGUCAGUGGCGGACGGGUGAGUAAUGUAUCGCUAAUGUACCCUAGAGCCAGGGAUAGCUGCCCGAAAGGGCAGGUAAUACCUGAUGAAAUGCCUUGAUCGCAUGAUCGGGGCCUCAAAGCAGCAAUGCACUCCUGGAGCAGGCGAUAUCGUANCAGCUAGUUGGUGAGGUAACGGCUCACCAAGGCGACGACGCGUAGCCGGGCUGAGAGGUUGACCGGCCACAUUGGGACUGAGACACUG